This 77-nucleotide transfer RNA is filed under the name Pseudomonadota bacterium. RNAcentral describes it as "Proteobacteria bacterium tRNA-Asn". It matches the Rfam family "tRNA". From Rfam's summary of the family: Transfer RNA (tRNA) molecules are approximately 80 nucleotides in length. Their secondary structure includes four short double-helical elements and three loops (D, anti-codon, and T loops). Lineage: Bacteria; Pseudomonadati; Pseudomonadota. RNAcentral also lists the same sequence under 2 other names. The record is from RNAcentral.
GCCCGAGUAGCUCAGCCGGUUAGAGCAUCUGACUGUUAAUCAGAGGGUCCCCCGUUCGAGUCGGGGCUCGGGCGCCA